GUACCUACGGGGGGCAGCAGUGAGGAAUAUUGGUCAAUGGACGGAAGUCUGAACCAGCCAUGCCGCGUGCAGGAUGACGGCUCUAUGAGUUGUAAACUGCUUUUGUAUUAGGGUAAACACCCCUACGUGUAGGGGCUUGAAAGUAUAAUACGAAUAAGGAUCGGCUAACUCCGUGCCAGCAGCCGCGGUAAUACGGAGGAUCCAAGCGUUAUCCGGAUUUAUUGGGCUUAAAGGGUGCGUAGGCGGUAUUUUAAGUUAGUGGUAAAACGUCGGGGCUUCACCUUGAUUGGCCAUUAAAACUGGAG
This 305-nucleotide ribosomal RNA is filed under the name uncultured bacterium. Its description in RNAcentral is "bacterial SSU rRNA". It matches the Rfam family "Bacterial small subunit ribosomal RNA", at positions 335 to 638 of the family's 1533-position model. The record is from RNAcentral.